AUUGAACGCUGGCGGCAUGCCUUACACAUGCAAGUCGAACGGCAGCACGGGUGCUUGCACCUGGUGGCGAGUGGCGAACGGGUGAGUAAUACAUCGGAACGUACCUUAUCGUGGGGGAUAACGCAGCGAAAGUUGCGCUAAUACCGCAUACGCCCUGAGGGGGAAAGCGGGGGACCGUAAGGCCUCGCGCGAUUAGAGCGGCCGAUGUCUGAUUAGCUUGUUGGUGAGGUAAAAGCUCACCAAGGCGAUGAUCAGUAGCUGGUCUGAGAGGACGAUCAGCCAAACUGGGACUGAGACACGGCCCAGACUCCUACGGGAGGCAGCAGUGGGGAAUUUUGGACAAUGGGGGCAACCCUGAUCCAGCAAUGCCGCGUGAGUGAAGAAGGCCUUCGGGUUGUAAAGCUCUUUUGUCAGGGAAGAAACAGCAGCUCUAACACAGUCUGCGAAUGACGGUACCUGAAGAAUAAGCACCGGUUAACUACGUGCCAGCCGCCGCAGUAA
Molecule: ribosomal RNA, 501 nt
Filed under: uncultured bacterium
Lineage: Bacteria
Description: partial 16S ribosomal RNA
Rfam family: Bacterial small subunit ribosomal RNA
Source: RNAcentral